This is a long non-coding RNA of Anguilla rostrata (American eel), 2382 nucleotides long. RefSeq lists it as uncharacterized. NCBI's taxonomy places the organism in Eukaryota, Metazoa, Chordata, Actinopteri, Anguilliformes, Anguillidae. The record is from RefSeq and is a predicted model, not a curated record. The transcript is spliced from 3 exons.
ACUACAUACCACUGCAUUAGAGCCAUUGUUCCAGGCCGGGGUGCUCAAAUUUCACCCUCAUGGCCAGUAGUAUGACUGGGUUUCUUUUCCACAUGAUAAUUAGUUGAUUGAUUGAUGUCACUGAUUGGCCUGAGAGUGUACUCAUCUGGGCCUAUACCAGUUCCUGAUAACAGGCAAAGAAACCAACCUCAGGGCUCGGUCUGAGUAUCCCUGAAUUACACAGUUCCGAUCUUGUUUUCCUAUUUCUCUGGAUUCAGCAGAUGAUCUUCACAGCCGUAACCAGCUGGAUGUCAUCCAUGUGUCAUCCUUCUAGCCAGAGGAAAGUGGAGGGCUUUUCCAGGUGAAUGCUGCACAAAUCAUGACAAGGCAAGUGGCAGGGGCUCUGGAGCUGAGAUCAAGACUACUAUCUCUGCAAUAAACACUCCUCGCCAGCCGCUUGUUGGAAAUCACCUACCAACGCACUGAUACCUCAGAGCACUGAGAAGAUUGCAGUGACAUCGCACAUGUGGAUGGAUUUCCAAGGUCGAACGCCCACAGUGGCUGAGGUUAAGGACAGAGAGGACCUUGGCUUCACUAGGGAUCUAUGGUAACAAAGUCUCUGGCUAUCAGACAGAUCGUAUUCAUGCCCUGGCUUCCUGACUACGUGGGCGAAGGGGAGUCAGGUUGCCUCGCUGAACCUGAAAAUAGCCACCACAUUAAAAUUCAACAUGUCAACAAGCCAUUUCCUGUCUGCGAAACCCUAGAUCCGGAGAUACGGAAUUCUUGGAGAGGUCAGGCGCUUCUGAGGGCAGCUGUCUCUUCACCCUGAAGAUCCUCCUGUCGACUCAACAUGAUCAAGUAUACACAGCAAAAUUCCGAGCAUUAAAUCAACUCAAACAGUGUUAAAUAAACUAACUGUAUUUACAUUUACAAGUCUGCUGGAGGCAAUCGGUACUCUUCGUAAAUUUAAAAGUACAGUACAGUAGAGAGUUUAUGUUACUCUAAACAUUUUACUAUGCACAAAUUACCUUUGCAACUCAAGAGACGUGGGCAAAGAAACUGAGGCUGUGUGAUCGUAUGAUUUAAUAAGGCAAACAUACAGACAAACAAAUGACUUAAAUGCUUAAAGUUUUACCCAGAAGACCAACAUAAUUUAUUUUCUUGUUUAUUUACAUUCCAGCCCAUCCCAGCAUUAUGUUACCAUACUCAAUUUCCCAGCUUUCUGUGGGCCAGAAAGUGUGCAAGGGCUGGUGUGUCGCUGGAUCUUAUACCUUGUUUACUGGUGAGGGUGAUCUGGCCCAGUUGCUUCAGGACCCUUCAUGCACUGACUGUCAAUCAUGACAGUUGACAGAUCUCUGUGUGGCAUAUAGACCAAUCAGAGUUUGAUAACAAAUUUCAAUUUGGAGUUAAUUUCAUUUCAAUUCAGGUGGUUCACAAAAUAAAAUCCUCUUUGAACAUGAUGAGCAUUUAAUUCAUGGAUUGAAUUUCAAUUCAUUUCAUGAACUGGCAGAACUGAAAUGAAAUUGAACCCAGAAUACCUUCUGGGUUUAAUUCUGUUGAACAGAUGAGUACAUGUUGAGAACAGACCAUUCAGCAUUCAAUCCAUCCAGGCUUGUCCUUUACCUGUACAGUCUAGAUUGUAUCCAGCACUGCGUCAAAGCCUGGACAAAGACCCACAGUUCCACUACAUGCCCUAACCAGCUUUUCAAGGCAUUGGCAACUCUCUGUGUUGUUCUACAGCCUAAAAUCUUACCACACACACACAUAAAUAAAUAAAUAAAUAAAUAAAUAAAUAAAUAAAUACAUUGAUAAAUAAAUAAAUAAAUACAUUGAUAAAUAAAUAAAUAAUAUAAAGGAACCUUUUUGCACAUCUUUUGCAAACCUUGGCAGAACAGGUUGUUCCAAGGAACAGGACAACACAGCCUGGGAUGAGUAGAAAAUUGCACAGCCUCAUUAUGGUGGUAUAAUUCUGUCCUCUUCCUGCACCCUUUUCUCCCCUGUGACGGAGACUGUGCCUGCCUCCCUUAAAGGCCCCUGCAGCCCCUUCCCUGUGUCCCUGCUGUCGGGAGAGCUUUGAGUCAUUAGGCUCGCAUUGUGUGUGCUGUGACAUCACUCACCGUGUGCGUGCAUUUGCGUGGAUAGAGCACGGCUCUGCAAAUGCUUGUUGGUCGAUGAUGCUGUCUUAAUAUAGAAUAUAGAUGAUGCUAGCAAUACCAAGGUAGAGGUGCCAGGAACACACUAUACUGUAUUUAGUCAGUAAUAUUCAAAUGUGUUUUCUUUAUUUUGUUACUUGGGCUAAAAAAAUGGAAGGAAUUUGGGCAAAUGUAAAUGAAGUGCAACUGCACUCUGUUAAACAGGUGCUGUCUUUAUAGUUUCUCAGAAAUAAAGUACAGGUGCCAGGUU